Molecule: ribosomal RNA, 254 nt
Filed under: uncultured bacterium
Lineage: Bacteria
Description: partial 16S ribosomal RNA
Rfam family: Bacterial small subunit ribosomal RNA
Source: RNAcentral
UACGUAGGGUGCGAGCGUUGUCCGGAAUUAUUGGGCGUAAAGAGCUCGUAGGCGGUCUGUCGCGUCGGUCGUGAAAACUUGGGGCUUAACCCUGAGCUUGCGGUCGAUACGGGCAUCACUGGAGUUCGGCAGGGGAGACUGGAAUUCCUGGUGUAGCGGUGAAAUGCGCAGAUAUCAGGAGGAGCACCGGUGGCGAAGGCGGGUCUCUGGGCCGAUACUGACGCUGAGGAGCGAAAGCGUGGGGAGCGAACAGG